This 108-nucleotide microRNA precursor is filed under the name Podarcis lilfordi (Lilford's wall lizard). The record is from RNAcentral. Lineage: Eukaryota; Metazoa; Chordata; Lepidosauria; Squamata; Lacertidae.
ACCUUAUAGACCAACUAAGUUUGUUCUGGUAUAAGAUUUCGUGUGCAUGCACACUUCUUCAGGCACACAAAAGCUUAUACCGAAACAAACUUAGUUGGUCUGUAAGGU